UACGUAGGUGACAAGCGUUGUCCGGAUUUACUGGGCGUAAAGAGCGCGCAGGCGGUCGUUCAAGUCGAGUGUGAAAGCCCCCGGCUCAACUGGGGAGGGUCAUUCGAUACUGAUCGACUCGAAGGCAGGAGAGGGAAGUGGAAUUCCCGGUGUAGUGGUGAAAUGCGUAGAUAUCUGGAGGAACACCGGUGGCGAAGGCGGCAUCCUGGACCAAUACUGACGCUGAGGAGCGAAAGCCAGGGGAGCAAACGGG
RNAcentral lists this ribosomal RNA (253 nucleotides) under uncultured bacterium. RNAcentral describes it as "partial 16S ribosomal RNA". It matches the Rfam family "Bacterial small subunit ribosomal RNA", at positions 524 to 776 of the family's 1533-position model. The record is from RNAcentral.